Molecule: ribosomal RNA, 468 nt
Filed under: uncultured bacterium
Lineage: Bacteria
Description: partial 16S ribosomal RNA
Rfam family: Bacterial small subunit ribosomal RNA
Source: RNAcentral
GACGAACGCUGGCGGCGUGCUUAACACGUGCAAGUCGAACGGAAAGGCCCUGCUUUUGUGGGGUGCUCGAGUGGCGAACGGGUGCGUAACACGUGAGUAACCUGCCCUUCACUUUGGGAUAACUUCAGGAAACUGGGGCUAAUACCGUAUAGGAGCUCCUGCUGCAUGGUGGGGGGUGGAAAGUUUCGGCGGUUGGGGAUGGACUCGCGGCUUAUCAGCUUGUUGGUUGGGUAGUGGCUUACCAAGGCUUUGACUGGUCGCCGGCCUGAGAGGGUGACCGGCCUCCAUGGGACUGAGAUACGGACCAGAGUCCUACGGGAGGCAGCAGUGGGGAAUAUUGCACAAUGGGCGGAAGCCUGAUGCAGCAACGCCGCGUGCGGGAUGACGGCCUUCGGGUUGUAAACCGCUUUAGCCUGUGACGAAGCGUGAGUGACGGUAAUGGGUAAAGAAGCACCGGCUAACUACGUG